GCCUCCCAAGUAGCUCAGUUGGUAGAGCAUGAGACUUUUAAUCUCAGGGCUGUGGGUUCGAGCCCCACGUGGGGCA
This is a non-coding RNA of Microtus oregoni (creeping vole), 76 nucleotides long. The record is from the annotation of a RefSeq genome assembly. NCBI's taxonomy places the organism in Eukaryota, Metazoa, Chordata, Mammalia, Rodentia, Cricetidae.